This is a long non-coding RNA of Phyllopteryx taeniolatus (common seadragon), 3553 nucleotides long. RefSeq lists it as uncharacterized. NCBI's taxonomy places the organism in Eukaryota, Metazoa, Chordata, Actinopteri, Syngnathiformes, Syngnathidae. The transcript is spliced from 14 exons. The record is from RefSeq and is a predicted model, not a curated record.
AAAAAACCUUCGAAAAUAUGUCAGGAAAUCUAAAUGCAGGACCGAGCGAGGUUCGAUCCCGUUCCGCCAGCACCGAAGUUCUCGUCUUGAUCGUGUGAGCUAUCUUCAGUUGGUUUUUCCGGUUUCCGUUCGAUGCGGUAAAGUCAAUGAAGUGAGGAGAACCCGGAACCAACAUUAUGGCCUCCGUUGGCCCGGACGGAUUUUGUUGUCGUACACAAACCAAAUCGGGCUGAAUUCAGCUACACGUUUGGACGCGGAACUUACAAUUUUUGGCAAAAAAGACUCAUAAAACCAUGGCUGUUUCUCUCACUUGACGCUGGAAUUGAUGUUGGGGAUCGAGGAGGUUUUGAGCGGACACGCAGCCGACAGACGCAAAGUUGUGGGACACGUGGACGGCUCUGCGCUACGAUGACUAGGACAACCUGCUUUUGGACAGCUUACAUGUUGGAUGACGAUGGUCUCCUUGUCGCUGCCUGGUGAAGUUGUCAGCCAGUGGGAAGAGAUUGCAGACCUAAGACAAAAUGUCAACUUGUGCUGCAAAUGUUUUUUGACAUGAGGUGAAACUCACCAGUGAUGAAAAGGGUGUGAAGUUUGUUUUCUGGGACUGUCAAGUGCUCGCACAUCUGCAUUGCCAGGACUCUGACCAUGUUCCCCAGCACCUGUGGAAAAACAACAACAAAUUUGGUAGAAGUAAAGACUGGAGUCAAGAGCAAAGAGCUUACCGUUAAAAGCGUCAACUUCAGUGUUGGAUGACAGGUCCACUUCACCAGGCAGUCACUGACGACAGUUUCCUUGUCUCCGGUCAUCGUGAGGAGAGCAUGGACCGGUGUGCCGUGACCCUGGAAAACAAAGACAUCCAUGAAUCAAACCUUUAUACCCAACAUGGUUUUUUUGUAGCAAAUUGUUUGCAAUGAAACUUACAGGGAAAGGAUGUGCAACUUGUUUUUUCUGCGACUGAGACCUCGCAGGAAUCUGAACAUGUUCCUCAGCCUGUGGAAGAACAACAACUUUGGAAGAAGUAAAGACUGGAGUCAAGAGCAAAGAGCUUACCGUUAAAAGCGUCAACUUCAGUGUUGGAUGACAGGUCCACUUCACCAGGCAGUCACUGACGACAGUUUCCUUGUCGCUGUUGAUAGUCACUGGUCAUCGUGAGGAGAGCGUGGACCGGUGUGUCGUGACCCUGGAAAACAAAGACAUCAGUGAAUCAAACCUUUAUAUCCAACAGGUUUUUUGUAGAAAAUUGUUUGCAAUGAAACUUACAACGAAAAGGAUGUGCAACUUGUUUUUUCUGCAACUGAGACCUCACAGGAAGCUGAAGAUGUUCCUCAGCCUGUGGAAGAACAACAACACGUUUUUGGGCAGAGAAAAGUCACGAUUGUGGAGAGCAUUCUGAGGAAGAGGAGCGCACCAGGAUGAGAGGAAGGCCUGGACCGGAAGCCAGCCUGCAUGCAGAGUCAAAACCAAAAAGCAGAUCAAGUCAGACCUUAACGAAGGAGAUUGCUUCAUCAGUCAGUCCAAGGUGCGUGGUGAUGCUGGAGUCAGGUUCUCCAAGACGGGCGACAUUUCUUUGACCAGUUGAAAUUUACUGUGCAAAACAAGCUGAAUUAAAUUUAUCAUGAACAUGCAUACUUUCUCAUUGAGGACCCCUCGUAGCUCUGCAUGACGUCAACAAGAGGCCGUCAAGACUGCACACAAAGCAGGAUGUGAGGAGUGGUUGCUGCAAGUCACCCUCCUUCAGAAGAUUGCCUUGAACACAGAUGUGCAUGCAGUAGGAAAAUAGUCAACUGAGGCCAGAAUUUCUAAAACAAAGACAUCUGUUACGUUUUGCCAUACAGCACAUUUGACAAGAGAUGAAACCCACCAGCAAUGAAGAGGAUGUGACUCGUUUCUCUCUGGGACUUUGUCCAAGCGCUCACAGGAAGCGGAAGGAAGGAAAAACAUUGUGAUGAUUGUUCAGUGUAUUCACAGAGUGGACUGUCAAGUGUGUGUGGACACCAGUGCAAACAUCUCAAACUUGUCCAACUCCUCAGGCUGCUCCACAGUUUGGCUUCAGCAUCUUCUGAUGUGGUCAUCCAGCUGAAUUAAAAUAAGUUGCACUUGAGCCGACUGAAGCCGGAAUGACAGUUUCCUCAUUGCUGAUGACCAUCACCAUCAAGACGAGCGCGUCGACCAAUGUGUCGUGACCUCCCUGAAGAAGCCAAAAAGACAUCGCAGGUGCAGGAUCUUGGGGGGCCAGGGUGCUUCUCCUCCACGAUGGCUCUUGUUCUGGAAGCCGCCCUGCACGCAGAGUCAAAAAAACAGAAACAGCGUGUCAAACCCAGCAGACGUGGCGACAGGCGAGCCUCGUACAUCUUGUUCCUCUCGCAGCUCUGCAUGACGUCAACAAGAGGCCGUCAAGACUGCACACAAAAAGCAGGAUGUGAGGAGUGGUUGCUGCAAGUCACCCUCCUUCAGAAGAUUGCCUUGAACACAGAUGAGCAUGCAGUAGGAAAAUAGCCAACUGAGGCCAGAAUUUCUAAAACAAAGACAUCUGUUACGUUUUGCCAUACAGCACAUUUGACAAGAGAUGAAACCCACCAGCAAUGAAGAGGAUGGGACUUGUUUCUCUCUGGGACUUUGUCCAAGCGCUCACAGGAAGGAAAAACAUUUGAACAACAUUGUGAUGAUUGUUCAGUGUAUUCACAGAGUGGACUGUCAAGUGUGUGUGGACACCAGUGCAAACAUCUCAAACUUGUCCAACUCCUCAGGCUGCUCCACAGUUUGGUUUCAGCAUCUUCUGAUGUGGUCAUUCAGCUGAAUUAAAAUAAGUUGCACUUGAGCCGACUGACAGUUUCCUCAUUGCUGAUGACCAUCACAAUCAACACGAGCGCGUCGACCAAUGUGUCGUGACCUCCCUGAAGAAGCCAAAAAGACAUUGCAGGUGCAGGAUCUUGGGGGCCAAGGUGGUUCUCUGCCACAAUGGAACUUGUCCUGGAAGCCACCCUGCAUGCAGACCUCGUACACGAUCUUGUUACUCACGCAGCGCUGGAUGAAGUCAAAAGGAUGUCAGUCUUUGACGCAGAUCAAGUCAGACCUUGAAGCAGGAAAUCUGCUUCACUCGUCGGUUCAAGCCGGGUUCAGGUUCUCCAGGGCCAAGAUGCUUUUGCACCUCCUAGUGGACAUGAGCGAAGAGUAGUGAAGAGUGUUCAAACCCAGCAUCUCAGUCCUCAGGCAGCGGCGCUUCAAGUGGAGGUUGUCAUAACUGCACACAGAAGCAGGAUGUAAGGAAUGUUUGCUGCAAAGGCACAAUCUUUUACCAUCACCAUUGGAGAUUAAUGCAUUUUGGGUGUUGUGACAUGUUCCCACCUUAAUGAUGUCAUCACAGGAAUAAAUCUGUUAGCUUUUGCCACAUGGUAGCUCAUCAUUUGCUGAAACAAAUUGAUAUAUUUUUUCAUGUGUACGAGUGUGCGUGUCUCACCAGUGAUGCGAGCAGGGCUCUCUAAACAAGAACGAAAGACACAGUAACAUAAUUAGCAACGUGACAUUUGACGUCAUGCUGUGAAAGAUACAGAAA